This 4153-nucleotide long non-coding RNA is filed under the name Olea europaea (common olive). Its description in RNAcentral is "long non-coding RNA (OEUR_LNC006413)". Lineage: Eukaryota; Viridiplantae; Streptophyta; Magnoliopsida; Lamiales; Oleaceae. The record is from RNAcentral.
AGGAGAGUUACAUAAGCUUAUUCAUAUCAGUAUCGAAACCAACAUUCGAUAAUAAAAGAAACAAAAGUAAGAUGCAAGUUAAAGAAAUCUGUAAUCCUCCACCAAAUACACAUUACUGAGACAUACAACUGGCUUGUGUUCUUACGUCCAAAAGCGCACAGCCCUUACACCUGGUCGAAGGGACUGGUUUUGUGACUCCACUUACAUUGUCACUUCCAAAUCUUCAUGAAGAAAUCAUAUUCGGGAUUCUUCGAAGAAUUUCCUUCAAAUCCACUGCUAAAUACAGCUGCUUCAAUCUAAUAUGCUGAUAAUCCCAAUUAUCUUCCUGUUCAAAGUAGGCAUAAAAUGGGAAGCUAAUACAAAUAAAUUUGGAAAACUAGAAGCACAAAUAUGACUUCAGAAUGGCAAUUUAUGUAAUAAGUUUACACAAUCCCAAAUAUGCAAUUGUAGUACCUUUACAGAAUUGUGAGUUUAAUUCUUUGCAUCCUCAUUUUGAGAUAAUAAGCCUUUCACAUUAAAUAAGAAACAAGUAAUUGAUCAUCAAACCAAGCAAGAGAGAGAUCGGUACUUGCAGCAUAAGAGAUUCACAAAAAGUUUUCCCAAUAACCACAUCUUGAGUAGGAUAAAAAAUGUUGUGUAUUAAUUAAAUUGGGAAGAGAAACAAUCUUCCUUCUAUAGAUGGACUACACCCUGGAAAAAUAAGAGAGAAGGUACAUCAAGACAAACUAAAUCUACAGUUGUACAUCUAGAUCUCUAGCAAUCAUAGAAAAUCUAUGUUUACAAAUUGGAUAAGACUAUAUGUACACUUUCCGGUGUACAUAAAGUCUUAUACCCCCUCACAUGGAGGGGGCUCCAUGUGUUGGGGGNNNNNNNNNNGUUGGUUGUGGUGGGGGGGGGGGGGGGGGGAGGAUUAAGAAUUGUUUACACCGGAAGUGUCAUGUAGCAUGACCCUUACAAAUUAUACAACAAACUAUCCCUAAAACAGAUUGUUAAACAAUAUUUUCACGUACGGGUUCAUGAUUAUUAGGAGGGUGGGAAGCAACAGCUUCAGUACCCAGUCAAGUCAAGUUUUUCACUUGUCUAGUAGAGGGCUUCUUCCCAAGCAUAACAUUCCUCCUGCUUUCCUCACGAUGUACUGCAGAGAACACUUCACUCAGAGAUAGCAGGGGUUGCUGACCAAUUAUUCUACCCCAAACUUCAUCAAACUUGACAAUUAGCCCAGCCAAAAAUUUGAAUAUUCGCAAACUUUCUACCAUAGUAAAAUAGUUAAACUAAUUCUAAUUCUUCCACUCAUUGUCAUUGAAUAAGUAAAGAUCCUAUCAUAAACCAUUGAGGACAUUAAAAUAUUUGGUAAUCGAAUUCUCACCUUGAUGAAUAUCCUCCCAUUUGAGUUGUAACUCAUAGAUUUGGGACUAAUUCCCAAGGUCUAAAUACAUCUUAGUAAUGUCAUAAAGAUCUAUAUCAAACGAAAUCAAUAGAUGUACAUCUUGAUUUCUGAGAAUCAUAAAGAUCUAUAUUUACAAAAUAUACAAUAAACUAUUCCUAGAAAUCAGAAUUUCCCUUAUUUAACCGAGAUUCUCAACACCACGUUCAAAAAUCCACCUAAAUAGCAAAAUUAUGGGAUGCUAUAGGGACUCGCUCCCAAGUGUCAAAUUAGGGCAUUUCAUGUUAAUGUGACCGGACACAUGCUGGUCAACCACUGAUAUGACAAGAUUGGAGUGACAAAAAUAAGUUUCUCAUAAGCCUAUAUAGAUCAUACACUCCACUAGGGAAAUAACGUAAAAGUUUGACUUUCAGAAAACGUUUAAGAAAAGUGUACAAAGAAAAGAAAUGAGAUCUGCAUAUAACUUUAGUUAAUCACUACAAGGCUGCUUGUUGAUUCUAAAUCUCUAGUUCCAAGGUAAAAGUAUGGCAUAAGGAAAAGCUUACUAUUUCUUGAAAAUCCUUUUUUUCCCAAAAAAAAAAAUAAAAUAAAAUAAAAUAAAAGGAAGCUUUUUCAUUAAUUCGGUAAAGGCUACAAAUUCACCACAUGGAAAGAGAUUGGGAUGGGAUAUGAACAGGGAGGAAAUAUGAGAACAAGGUUCUGAAAAACCCACCAGGUAUAUCUAAAAUUAGCUUAGUUUCCAUUUGGGUAUACGACCUUGGAUUGCAAUGGGGACUCGAAUCCUGUCUUUGAUGGUGAUCAUAGAGUUGGGAAACUGAUCAAAUCGAUUCCGAUCAAGCCAAAAAGGUAAGCCCUAUAUAUGUUAUUAGUAAAGCGCUUAAAAAAUAACCCUUCCCGUGGGAGAAAGAUGUAGAAGUAAAUAAAGCAGCAGAUAUUGAAGACUUUUACAAGGGAUCAAUUGGAGCUCAAACCCCGUGGGGAAGCAAGUUUCCAUACAGAGAAGAAGAUGAAGCUAUUGCAAGCCCUGAACUGGCUACACGAGGUCAUUUUGCGAAAAUCUGCGUUCAAAUCAAUCUAUGGUUGUUUUGCAAGAUCUCACUUUCAUUUCGUAGAGUGGAUCAAACAUGUGUUCAGCUUGCUUUGGGCCCAGGAAGCGAAGGGACUGCGAAUUCCUGGUCAUUCCUACCAUUUGUUCUCAUCAGCGAUGCUACUUUCUUCUUUAUACCUUUCCUUUCCUAAAUCAAUAAAUAUGAAUGGCACGAGGACUUUCUUCAGAUCGAAGGAGAGGAAUCGAUCAGCAUCUUACCAUGGAACUAAAUAAUCAUCUGGCAGAUACUGAUGCAAGAAAAUUAGAUUCAAGGAAAAUAAAGUCACCAAGCAUUCAGCUCUGGCAGUACUGCAGCCGUAUUUCUAUUUUCCUUUCUUCAUCAUUCUGCUAUCUUAUUAGCUGUUUCCUAUCCUGUCUUAAUUUAAAUUAUUAUGUUUCCUAGUUCAAAAUUUUUGGGUAUCAGACAAAUUCUUGUGGUGUCAACCUUGUAUUCAGCCUCUUAUUUACAAAGCACUGAAAUCUUAUGCAGUUCUGUUAUGACCUUCUUAUGGUUUUCUGCAAACUCCAGCCACUAAUUUACAUUUUCUAAGGUAUGGUGCAAGCAUCUUUCAUUCUCAUCAUGCAUUAGUUUGUGUCAAAGCCAGGUUCACAUCAAGCUGGCAUGUGAGGCAGAAAAUGUUGGAGAUAAAUGGAACAAAACUCAUAGAUUACUAAAAGUAUUGAAUAACUCAGAAAACAAGAAAGGCGAUCGAUAAAAUUCAGGUAACAAUCAAACAAAAGCAUUUCGAGACCAAAGUGACAUGGUCAUUAUUUAGUGACAAGUAACUGGCAAAUUGGAUCCACCUAUCUACAAUGUCUAUGCAGACAACAAAUGAGUUUUUUUCAAGCUCAGAUUGGUUCGUUAUUAUAUAUUUGUUGAAGAAAAUAAAUAUAUAGACAAUAACCAGCUACGGGCGUUCACUGUGCUAAGAAAUUGAAAACUGGAUCUCUGUGUAUAUCCUCUUUAGCUACACAAAGUCGUUGGAGAGUAAAACAAAGAGAAUGCUUUGAUGGUCUAAGAUAUAGCAAUGCGGUCUCUAUAAUCUAACCUUCCAAGUAAAACAAGACAAGAAAAAAAGGGUAGAUUGAAUGGGUAACAUAGAUCCAUCACAGAGAAAACUCUGGUUAAAUGGGUUCAGAAAAGGUUAUGCAUGAAAUUUGUCUUUUUAUUGAGAAGUAAUUCAUGAACAAAAAUGUAAAUAUGAUCCUUACAUUCUAUAAAGCUAUACAAUACAGAAUACAGAUCUGGAGGAGCAAAUAAAAUGUAGUUUAGUUACAUUUUUGGUGCAUUGACUGAGACAUAUAAUGCCAAAAGCUUGAUUCUUAAUUCAAUUAAAUACAUCAAUUAACAUUUCUUUGUUUAGCAUUUACAUUAUGAGCUAGAAGGUCCUCUGAGCAGGAGAAGGUUUAGAAAACAAUGCAGAGAUUUUUGUUGAGUUUGCAAAUAUUUUUAAUGACCGAAAUUUUAGUAGGACUAGAAUAGCAUGCAACACACCAUAGGAGAAUAUUUAAAAAUAAAUAACUAAACACACACAAAUUAAGAUAUGAUCCAAAGAAGCAUUAAUAAGAAACAUUCACCAAUAUGAUAACCUAAUUUACCUUUGUACCCCAUUGCCACAAUUGUUGGUUUUCUUCAUGAUCAGAGUUAGGCAAAAUUAGGCUUUCAGUGUAGGUAAUUGCUC